RNAcentral lists this ribosomal RNA (496 nucleotides) under uncultured bacterium. RNAcentral's name for it is "partial 16S ribosomal RNA". It matches the Rfam family "Bacterial small subunit ribosomal RNA", at positions 28 to 507 of the family's 1533-position model. The record is from RNAcentral.
GACGAACGCUGGCGGCGUGCCUAAUACAUGCAAGUUGAGCGCUGAAGGUUGGUACUUGUACCAACUGGAUGAGCAGCGAACGGGUGAGUACGCGUGGGGAAUCUGCCUUUGAGCGGGGGACAACAUUUGGAAACGAAUGCUAAUACCGCAUAAAAACUUUAAACACAAGUUUUAAGUUUGAAAGAUGCAAUUGCAUCACUCAAAGAUGAUCCCGCGUUGUAUUAGCUAGUUGGUGAGGUAAAGGCUCACCAAGGCGAUGAUACAUAGCCGACCUGAGAGGGUGAUCGGCCACAUUGGGACUGAGACACGGCCCAAACUCCUACGGGAGGCAGCAGUAGGGAAUCUUCGGCAAUGGACGAAAGUCUGACCGAGCAACGCCGCGUGAGUGAAGAAGGUUUUCGGAUCGUAAAACUCUGUUGGUAGAGAAGAACGUUGGUGAGAGUGGAAAGCUCAUCAAGUGACGGUAACUACCCAGAAAGGGACGGCUAACUACGUG